CGUAAGUGUUGAGCGGGCCUCUCCGGGCGUCACGGUCCCCGGGCGGGCGCGCGUGGGUGAGUACCCCCUGCCUACGCGCGGCGGCUUCACCCUCUCGGCCCUCGUCCAGGAUGCGGAUUUCUGAAACGGAACCACGGAGAAUCAUUUCCAGUUUCUGUGCAGGUGAUAAGUAUGGUGCUUCCAUAAUACAUUUGGAUGUUUUCAGCUAAGUUGACUUCUGAACUAUGGGGUUCCUCCAAAUAUUGCCUGAACUUUGUCCUUGCACAGCCCCAGGCUCAUCUGCAAAAUCUACAGUUCAUAAUGGAGCUACUGUGCUGGCUAUUGGAAGGAGGAGAUUCUGAAGAUAGGGAGAUUCAGCUGUCGGUCUUCGAAAUUUCCUGAGGUCUGUUCAAUCUAGAUGCAAAAGACAUGGAAAAAUCAAGUGCUCAAGUGGUUUAAAUGUUUUGGAUGUUCCUAUUUAUAGACUACAGUAUUUUUCCCAUUAAAAUCCCAAGUUGUCAUUCAGAAGAAGGUUAUGUGCUUCUUGAUCACCAAUUUUAUUUGAAAUGCUAGUAUUGUAGAGUAUCACUAAACAUUUGUUGUUUUAAUCAAAGUAUAAGAAAAAUCAAUUUCAGAAGUGGACUUUUCCCCCCUAAAAUGUCUUUAUUUUGGGUUGAAUGCAUGUUUAUACCUGAAAAAGAGGUCUCAAAA
Rhinolophus ferrumequinum (greater horseshoe bat) is the source of this 690-nucleotide long non-coding RNA. RefSeq lists it as uncharacterized. NCBI's taxonomy places the organism in Eukaryota, Metazoa, Chordata, Mammalia, Chiroptera, Rhinolophidae. The transcript is spliced from 4 exons. The record is from RefSeq and is a predicted model, not a curated record.